GCCUCCCCCAGAUGUGUGCACUGUUGUGUGUGUUCAAAUGUAAUUGUUGCGUGUGCAUGGUCGUUGAUUGUUCUUUCCGCGUCUUAGCUCGAGGAAAGGUGCCUCUACCUUUUUUUUACCUCCGCUUAUAAUACCCUAUCCUCUUUCCGGUUCUCCUCCUCUCUCACUCUAUCUCUCUCCUCUCUCGCCUCCCCUAUUUGCCUGUUCUCCCUUUUCGACUCUUGUUUAGGUUCGGUUGGUUGGUUAGGUUUAUAGGUAUCUGGUGUUAGAGGUAACCUGGUGUCGAGAGGAAGGGGUUGGUUUUGAUUCUUCUCUUUGGGGACGUUGAGACGUUCUUGUGGUGGUAGGGUGGAGGGUCGCUCUUUUAGAAAAACAUGCUUUUUUCCCCCACCAGUCUAAAUGAGGUGUAGUGAGGGGUACGUGGCCGGGACUCCUUUCGCAAGGUCAGCUCAGAGGUAAGAAGGUGCUAAGGUCCUUUGGCAGCGGCUAGAUUCGUUUAGAACAAGUGGUCUCGCGGUUGUUCAACAACGGAGAACCGAAGUACUGUCGAGGAACUGGACGACGACGACGACGAGCAAUAGGUCGAAAAAGGAACCCAUUAAUCGAUGGACGAGCAGCAGCAGCAGCAGCGGCGUCUUUCCGGAACCACGGAUCAGUACAGCCGCAGCGGCAGCUACUCGCCGCCACGGCCCCUCGCCUGCGCCUGCGCCUGCCACCACACCAAGUCCGCCCUGGACGCGCACCUCCUGUUGGGCCGGGAUCGCCGCCGCCGCGCUUGUCGGCCCCUCCACCACGGCCGCAUGCACACCCGCGGCCUCCUCCUGCCCGGCAUGAUGGGACCCGCCCACAGGGCCACCACCGAGUCGGUCUCGGAGUUCGUGGACCUGCGGAGCGACGCGGCCGAGCCGCGGUGGGUAGAGAAGAAGUUGGUGGAGAUGCCAAGCUAAGGAGGAUGUAGAGAGUGAGAAUAAGGAAACACCAGUAAAUAAAUAAAAGAUGACAGGAUCCUCAUGAACCAAUUCUAAAGAAGAGAAGAGACAAUAUGAGGAUAUAUUCUUCUUUUUUUUCUAUUUCUAUUUCCUAAAGACAAAAUGCCAAACGAGGCGAGGCCGAGUUGAUCUAGGUGAGAAUGUGCUAGGUUAUCUUUUACCUCCCCUCCCCUCCCCUCCCCUCCUUAGAAACGUAGUUGUCAUGGUAGGGAGGACACACUACACACACGGUUAGUUAGUAUAAGUACCCAUAAAGUAAAGUACGAUCGAAUUGGACAUGAGGUGUGCAGUUUGUUGAGGUUCAAAUCGUAGUUUGUGAUGAGGGACUUGUGAGUCAGAAAUUAAGGGUUUUCAAGAACAUGGGUGGUUGGAUCAUCAUCAUAAAUAAUGAUGAUCAUCAGGCCAAAUUAAUUUUGAAUGAAAAAAAUCCCCUAAAAUUAAUUUUGAAUGAUCAUGAUAUUGUUCAUCAUCAACAAAAGGAAAAACUAUUGUUCGUGGAAUAGCACAUUCGACUGUGUUUGUUUACCGGUACACAACGAGUGGUUAGCGACAGACGAGACGACGGGCGGCACAUCUGGGCGACAGCGACCAGGCCCUGGUGGCCCACUUCGUUCACGACCCCCGGCUCCCGUAGUGGCACGUCAGGAAGUUGAGGCUGGACGAGAUGCUCGGUACCCUCCAGGAGCUGCUGGUGCCGACGGGGAAGUGGUACAAGUGCGGGAAGACCUUGUUCACGGAGACAUACCAGCUGGGGGGGCGCGGGUACGACGGUGGGUUCUCCUAGUUAAGUCCACUGAACAGCUCCACGACGAGUAGCCUGGUAGAGUAGAAGCUUCUGCUCAGCCUCUCCCCCUCGUUGCGCGACGAGCGUGCCCGCACCAGCGGCCCCACCGUCUUGCGGCUGUUCCGAAAGUGGCGGAAGUAGUUGCCGGGCGAGUAGCUGAUGAGGCACUUGGCGUUCUUCCGGCUGUCACGUUUGUGGAGUGACGAGAGAGGGAUGGACGUGAAACCGCUCGAGUCGCAGGCGUUCCAGAAGGUAGUCCAUGCCUACUUCGUCGAUUGCACCUCGUUGCUCUCGUUGGCGCUGCCGCUCCUCCCGACGUCGGAGAAGGAGGCGAGGUAGCCGGACGCUCUCAUGAGGUCCAUGGAGCGGAAGUUGGUGGGGACGUCGGUGCUCUUCGGGGAGAACCGAGUAGAGUCCAAGAAGGGGACCCACCAGUUACUCCAGAUGAAGUUCCAGACCUCCGUCCCAUCCUGGCCGAUGGGAGAACAGCUGCGGCCGUACUCCCUCGAAACCCGGUGGCCGACCGACGUACUGGCGUAUGCACAGCAGCAGAGUUCGAAGAAGCAGUUCCAAGAGGUCGACGGUACCGCGACCCCCUACUUCAUGAAGACCCUGUGGAACGACCUGCGGCUGGAACUCUCGCUGCGCAACCCGACCGUCAUGUAGAGGCCCAGAGACGGACUACCGGCACUCGAGCUGGCGUAACUGUUGGGCGUCAAACUUCCGAUGUUCAAGCUGGGUAUGCCCCUCAUGCAGGCCGCUACCGACGGCCUCGACCGCUCCGAUGGUUGCCUUACCUAUGUGGUGGGGACCCUACGUGGGCUCAGACACGACGUCCGACGUCCUUAACUCGAUCCAAGGUUAAUGGGAGAGGGGUAACAACUCGAUCUACUUCGGUUUAGGUCUAACGUCCUGCGGGACAGUCUCUACACCCUCGAACUCCGUCGGAGAGCACGACUCUAUCUCUUACCUUACCUCCUUCCGGACCCUCUGAGGAGUCUGCUCGGCGGGUAACGGAAGGGGGUUCUCGACGUCGUAUACCUUCACCUGGACCUGGCACGGUGAUAGGUGUGUGGUCGCUGCCGACCGGCCUCUGCUCGUCUAGUCUACCACGGAUCGUAGUGGAGAAGGAACCAGUCUCGACUUUGUCUUUGUCUUGAAAGGCGUCGAAAACUUUCGGUUCACUGAUCCGGCCUCCACGGUAGUGUCCACGUAAAGGUCGGAGUCUGAGCCUGCCUUUAGUCCCUACUUCAACGGUCGAUGCCGUGACGACGGUCUAUGUUGCCGCAGGUCGUCGUCGUCGUCGUCAUAUGGGAUGUGGUAGUGGCACACGUCCCGCCGUAUCGUGGUAGGUGAAGUCUCCGUAGUUCGUCGACCUGACCCUCUCUUCCACCCCAUCAUGGGCAAACCAGCGGAGGCCGACGCAGUCCGGUAAGUCUAGGGAUGCGACGCCUACUUUGACUGUAAAGGUCAUCCUCAAUAAACCUGUCCGUGGGCGUCGUCAGUGUAUCCAACUACUUAACCUUAGUCGAGAGGGUCAGUAGCACUGGAGUCUACGUACGACCUACUCUGUUGUCGCCCGACGGUUCACCUUUUGAAAACGGGUCUACGUACUUGCUUAAAUUAACACAUCCCUCAACCUCUCACUGCAUACAUGUAAUAUAACGGAAGACAAGUGGAUAUCGGAACCAUACGUCCUUCUUGGUUCACUACGUCGAAGUAAGUACCCACGUUAUUCAAUACAUUUUGAUCUGAAGAUCUUGAAGACACCAUUAUCAUAUCCAACGAUCAACAGUUUUCCUAGACGUGGCAAAUAUAGUCUAUUUCCAAAACAGACAUUACCAUGUAAUGGAAACCAAGAACGGUAGAAACGGCUGGUUCUUCAGUGGUGUAUCGAACUGAGCCUUGGUUUGAAAACCUUCUCACAUAUGACUAUCUUUACUAUGCUGCUAGACU
Molecule: ribosomal RNA, 3729 nt
Filed under: Triticum aestivum (bread wheat)
Lineage: Eukaryota; Viridiplantae; Streptophyta; Magnoliopsida; Poales; Poaceae
Description: partial small subunit ribosomal RNA
Source: RNAcentral